AAGUCGUAACAAGGUUUCCGUAGGUGAACCUGCGGAAGGAUCAUUAACACGUAUCCAAACGUUAAAACCCCCCCCGUGAACCUUCAUCCUGCUCUUGUAACCCGCGUAGUUCGCAAUCUCUGAUAAAUCAUAGCCCGGAAAGUUGUAGUGAUUCAGAGACCUCUGGCUACGUGCGAACAUUGGAACAGUUACAAUCGAGCGGUAGUUCUAUAGGCAAUGUUUCCCCAAGCAGUCAGUGUCGGAAAGUGUGAUUGCUUGUGCAAGGAUAGCGCUUCUACGAUUCCUGUAGACCAUACAUUGGGUAAAAAAACCGAACAACUGUUAACAAUGGAUAUCUUGGUUCUC
RNAcentral lists this unclassified non-coding RNA (345 nucleotides) under fungal sp. Its description in RNAcentral is "partial internal transcribed spacer region". The stretch from base 1 to 46 matches the Rfam family "Eukaryotic small subunit ribosomal RNA", at positions 1786 to 1831 of the family's 1831-position model. Lineage: Eukaryota; Fungi. The record is from RNAcentral.